Molecule: ribosomal RNA, 492 nt
Filed under: uncultured bacterium
Lineage: Bacteria
Description: partial 16S ribosomal RNA
Rfam family: Bacterial small subunit ribosomal RNA
Source: RNAcentral
AGUGAACGCUGGCGGUAUGCCUAACACAUGCAAGUCGAACGGCCGCACAGGAAGAGUGUGCUUCUACGGUUGGCGAGUGGCGGAUGGGUGAGGAAUACAUCGGAAUCUUCUAUGUCGGGGGUGACAUCGGAGGGACAGUGAUGCUAAUACCGCAUAUGUUGAACGGGUGGAAUCAAUGGUGCAUGGGGGUUUUGGUGAUUGAUUUAGCCGAUGUCGGAUUAGCUAGUUGGCGGGGUAAGGGCCCACCAAGGCAACGAUCCGUAGCUGGUCUGAGAGGGUGAUCAGCCACACUGGAACUGAGACACGGUCCAGACUCCUACGGGAGGCAGCAGUGGGGAAUAUUCGGCAAUGGGCGAAAGCCUGAUCCAGCCAUGCCGCGUGAGUGAAGAAGGCCUUCGGAUUGUAAAGCUCUUUUAUUAGGGAAGAACAACAGCAGGUUAAUCCCCCGCUGUUCUGACGGUACCCAAAGAGUAAGCCCCGGCUAACUUCGUG